CCCAGACGCAGGCAACUGCAGUCGAGGACACAUCACCACUUAGCCAUGGCUAAGGUUGCUUGCCCUCUUUGUGCAAUCCAAAGGGACUCCCAACACCCGAAGGCCUCAACCCGCAAACGAAGAUACAGGCCAUCGACUCAAAGAGUAAAGAGGAGGAGAGUUCAUCGAAAGAAGAAGAGGCAGACACGCCGCCACAGAAGGAACUGACUUGGUCCCUGCCAGCUCCCGAAAACCAACCUGUAGCUAGGGGACCAUAGCAGCGAACACAGACCUGAUGCAGAACUCAAACCAUGAGCCAACCAGAACGUCAUCAGGAUAUGUAAUCCAAGCAUCACAUUCCAAUAAAUGAGCAAUAAGCAUGC
Molecule: long non-coding RNA, 362 nt
Organism: Tachyglossus aculeatus (Australian echidna)
Lineage: Eukaryota; Metazoa; Chordata; Mammalia; Monotremata; Tachyglossidae
Exons: 2
Source: RefSeq, a predicted model, not a curated record